Molecule: non-coding RNA, 75 nt
Organism: Desmophyllum pertusum
Lineage: Eukaryota; Metazoa; Cnidaria; Anthozoa; Scleractinia; Caryophylliidae
Source: the annotation of a GenBank genome assembly
GACGCGGUGGCCUAAUGGUUAGCGCGUUGGACUCCGGAUCGAGCGGUCCGGGUUCGAUCCCUAUAGCCUGGGUCA